RNAcentral lists this ribosomal RNA (492 nucleotides) under uncultured bacterium. RNAcentral describes it as "partial 16S ribosomal RNA". It matches the Rfam family "Bacterial small subunit ribosomal RNA", at positions 28 to 507 of the family's 1533-position model. The record is from RNAcentral.
GAUGAACGCUAGCUACAGGCUUAACACAUGCAAGUCGAGGGGAAACGACAUCGAAAGCUUGCUUUUGAUGGGCGUCGACCGGCGCACGGGUGAGUAACGCGUAUCCAACCUGCCCACCACUUGGGGAUAACCUUGCGAAAGUAAGACUAAUACCCAAUGACGUCUCUAGAAGACAUCUGAAAGAGAUUAAAGAUUUAUCGGUGAUGGAUGGGGAUGCGUCUGAUUAGCUUGUUGGCGGGGUAACGGCCCACCAAGGCGACGAUCAGUAGGGGUUCUGAGAGGAAGGUCCCCCACAUUGGAACUGAGACACGGUCCAAACUCCUACGGGAGGCAGCAGUGAGGAAUAUUGGUCAAUGGACGAGAGUCUGAACCAGCCAAGUAGCGUGCAGGAUGACGGCCCUAUGGGUUGUAAACUGCUUUUAUAAGGGAAUAAAGUGAGUCUCGUGAGACUUUUUGCAUGUACCUUAUGAAUAAGGACCGGCUAAUUCCGUG